GACGAACGCUGGCGGCGUGCUUAACACAUGCAAGUCGAACGGUAAGGCCCUUCGGGGUAUACGAGUGGCGAACGGGUGAGUAACACGUGGGUGAUCUGCCCUGCACUUCGGGAUAAGCCUGGGCAACUGGGUCUAAUACCGGAUCGGACCACUGCCUGCAUGGGUGGUGGUGGAAAGCUUUUGCGGUGUGGGAUGGGCCCGCGGCCUAUCAGCUGGUUGGUGGGGUGAUGGCCUACCAAGGCGACGACGGGUAGCCGGCCUGAGAGGGUGACCGGCCACACUGGGACUGAGAUACGGCCCAGACUCCUACGGGAGGCAGCAGUGGGGAAUAUUGCACAAUGGGCGCAAGCCUGAUGCAGCGACGCCGCGUGAGGGAUGACGGCCUUCGGGUUGUAAACCUCUUUCAGCACCGACGAAGCGCAAGUGACGGUAGGUGCAGAAGAAGGACCGGCCAACUACGUGCCAGCCGCCGCGGUAA
This 478-nucleotide ribosomal RNA is filed under the name uncultured bacterium. Its description in RNAcentral is "partial 16S ribosomal RNA". It matches the Rfam family "Bacterial small subunit ribosomal RNA", at positions 28 to 523 of the family's 1533-position model. The record is from RNAcentral.